This 553-nucleotide ribosomal RNA is filed under the name uncultured fungus. RNAcentral's name for it is "eukaryotic LSU rRNA". The stretch from base 186 to 340 matches the Rfam family "5.8S ribosomal RNA". The record is from RNAcentral. Lineage: Eukaryota; Fungi.
AAGUCGUAACAAGGUCUCCGUUGGUGAACCAGCGGAGGGAUCAUUACUGAGUACUACACUCUCUACCCUUUGUGAACUAUUAUACCUGUUGCUUCGGCGGCGCCCGCAAGGGUGCCCGCCGGUCUCAUCAGAAUCUCUGUUUUCGAACCCGACGAUACUUCUGAGUGUUCUUAGCGAACUGUCAAAACUUUUAACAACGGAUCUCUUGGCUCCAGCAUCGAUGAAGAACGCAGCGAAACGCGAUAUGUAAUGUGAAUUGCAGAAUUCAGUGAAUCAUCGAAUCUGUUGAACGCACAUGGCGCCUUCCAGUAUCCUGGGAGGCAUGCCUGUCCGAGCGUCGUUUUCAACCCUCGAGCCCCUGUGGCCCGGCGUUGGGGAUCUGCCACGGCAGGCCCCUAAAACCAGUGGCGGACCCGAAGGGCCCUCUCCUUUGCGCAGUAGCAUUCGCCUCGCAUCGGGAGUCCUCGGCGUCCUGCCUCUAAACCCCCCACAAGCCCGCUUCGGCGGCACCAAGGUUGACCUCGGAUCAGGUAGGAAUACCCGCUGAACUUAA